UACGUAUGGUGCAAGUGUUAUCCGGAUUUACUGGGUGUAAAGGGUGCGUAGGUGGCAAGGCAAGUCUGAAGUGAAAAUCCGGGGCUCAACCCCGGAACUGCUUUGGAAACUGUUUAGCUAGAGUACAGGAGAGGUAAGUGGAAUUCCUAGUGUAGCGGUGAAAUGCGUAGAUAUUAGGAGGAACACCAGUGGCGAAGGCGACUUACUGGACUGCUACUGACACUGAGGCACGAAAGCGUGGGGAGCAAACAGG
RNAcentral lists this ribosomal RNA (253 nucleotides) under Coprococcus eutactus. Its description in RNAcentral is "partial 16S ribosomal RNA". It matches the Rfam family "Bacterial small subunit ribosomal RNA", at positions 524 to 776 of the family's 1533-position model. Lineage: Bacteria; Bacillati; Bacillota; Clostridia; Lachnospirales; Lachnospiraceae. The record is from RNAcentral.